UCCUGGUUCCUCUUUCUGCCUCCUUUCCCCAUCCUGGGGUUCACUGGCCUCCCAUUUUCUCCCCACUUCAAAGGGGUUACCUCUGAUGAAAGGACUCAGACCAGCAACAAAGCUACUAAGUUCAGAUUUGCUUGUUUUUGCCAAAGAUAAAUGUUUCAGUUACUAAAAUUUUCACUUCGUCCCUUCCACAGAAUGGCCUUGUAUCAAGAACUGGAAUAUCAUGGUCUAACGGUCACAGCUCUCUGGCCCCCGGGGCGGCGCACUGUCUGUCUGAGAGGCGGCGGUGAAGAGGACACGAGCUGAUCCCUGCUGGGCGUGGGCCUGGCGAGUAGUCAUUGCUGAACGAUGAGCAGCAUCCUCAGCAUUUGUGUGGCAGCGCCCAGCAGCCGGAUUCCCUGCUGGUGUCCCCUCACUGCAGCCGCCUUUCGACUGCUUGGCCCAGAACAGCCUGGUGCACACAUCACGACGAGGAGACGGAGGCUGGGUCCCCCCCUUGCUGUUCAGUGGGUCUGAUGAGGGACGGGCGGUCCUGCCGGCCUUGUGACAAGCCACCCAGCUUUUCAGAGGGGCGCGUGCUGAGCCCUGUGCGGGCUUCCUCCUGUCCUGCGGGGACGGCAGGGUCUGGUCUGAUGGCUGGGCUCUCCUCAGGCCGCGUCUAGGGCUGGGACCAGGUCGUCUGGGCCAUGGGGAGCUCUAAAUCUGGGCCACAAGUUGACAGCUAAAAUCAGGUUGGGUGGAAAGAGGAAUGCGAGCAGGCUGUGCGAUGGGAAGCCAAGAGCAGACGUGAACUUCGGGGGUCUGGACGCUGGGGGGCGAGAGGAGGGCUGCCGACGGAGGGAAGGAAAGCUGCCCCGAUACACUGAUGUCUGUGAGGACGUCCUUUUGGAUCUCCUGUGUGGCCUGUUUAAAGGGCCCAGAAUGUUCUAGAAGGCUCCUCUGAGGUGAAGCCAGAGUCCCCUUACUUUGGGCCUGAGUUGAGUAUUGGCUGCCGGAACUCAUCCAAAAUCUCCUCCUCAGGAGGAACGUUACCAGCUGAAGGAUUCUGGAUAGAAACGGCAGGACUCUCAGACCCACAGGCUGGACCCACAGGCUGGACCCUCACCAGAAUGACUAACUGCCUUUGGCUGAAGGUAUAAGCACCAGAAGAGGAAGGAAUCAUGAACUCUUUCCCUCCUACAGUCAUGACUGAACUAACUGGAAACGCUCCUGCACUUGCCACAAAGGGCUGAGCUCGACCCGGAAUUGCCUUAGAAGAAAUACUACUAUACUAACCAAGCCCGACAUGAGCUCCCUGAGCCCUGAGUGACCAGUAUUUACAAAGAAGUUCUAACUCUCAUUCCCCAUUUGUUAUCCCUGCCAUUUUAUCCCCUGUAAUGCUCUCCAGGGACCAAUUAAUAGUAUCUGAAUGGAAGCAUGACUCAUAAGUGGGAAUGAGCUUGUUCUGGAUCGGAUUUCAGUGUAUAUGCCCAUGUACACACGUGUGUGUGUGUGUGUGUGUUCACAUGUGUGCAUGCAAGCAGCAUUACAUCAGAGGGAAAAUUGCCUGUACCCAGAAUUUCAGGUCUCAUCAAGAAAGCCAGCCUCCCACCCAGUCCAGGAGUAAAUCCUCUGGGACUAUGGAUUCCAGAUGGGAGGUAAAGUGAACUCCUCAUGUGAAGGAGGGAGAUAGGAGAACGAUUCUCAGGCCCAAAUGCCAUGAAGUUAGGACAAAAUCCAAGACAAAACAGUAGAAUCCUUAAAGUAAAGGAGAAGAGAAUUUAGAUUCAUCAAAGGAAUAUUCUGUACCAGAUAUUUAACGUUUGUUACCUUUCAAUAAUCCUGUAAAGUAGAUAUUUGUGAUCUCAUUUACUAGACUAAGACGUUGCGAACCAGAGAGGUGAUUGCUCUGUAUCGGUUGGCAGAUAGGUGGCAGAGCGGGGGUCUGAAUGAUCAGAAGGCUGCUGCCAAAGCUAGUGUUUUUCUCCGAAUGUCAAGGACUUUCUCAAGAUAGCAACUGAUUUCUCAAGCGGUGUCUGGGUUCACUAUAAACUGCUUGACUUACUCCUCAUGAAAGGAGGAAGCAGGUAGAUGAAAUCAAACUGUCUUUGUUGAGGACAGAUGCCGAUUCUAGGUUUCUAUGUCUCAAGAAAAGGCUGGACCCUCCCUGCCAGUACUAGUUCCCACAGUGCCCUUGUGAAGGGGACCCUCUCAGUCUGGGAGCUGCAGCAUCAUUAGUGGGUUCACAUACAGAGUACCAGCCAGGACCCACUGGGAGGUAGAUGGAGCAUUCAAAGGGAUAAGGAAGGAGACUUGAACAAAUACACAAUUGAUAGAGUCCUGGGUGGGGUGGAGGACAAACAAGGGCUGGAGAAGCACCCAGGGGAAGCAGUUAGCACUCUGGGCCCAGAAGGGCAAGCAGAGAGGUGUUUCCUCAAACCCAAGAACUGGAGCCUGGCAGAAGGGCCCCUAGGCAAGAGCUGUGAGCAUGAGAAGAAGCACGCAGCUCCUACCAGAACAGGAGGGGGAGCAGGAAUGGUCCCCUACUUCUCUCCUACCCCCCUGAUCCUGUGCCUUGGCAAACGGGACUCCCCAGCAUAUGCCCCAAACCUGUAGACCAGUGCAUGGCACGUGGUAAGGGCUAAGUAAGUGCUGCCAUUAUCCUAGUCACUGGUAACCGGGCUCUCCUGCCUGGGGCUUGCCUGAGGCUGUUUCUAUAGAGAAUGUAUAGUGAGCUUGUCUCUCUGCUGAAAACCAGUAAUACGUUAGUUUGAAGAAGUAGAAUUUGUUAUAUGAGC
Molossus molossus (Pallas's mastiff bat) is the source of this 2774-nucleotide long non-coding RNA. RefSeq lists it as uncharacterized. NCBI's taxonomy places the organism in Eukaryota, Metazoa, Chordata, Mammalia, Chiroptera, Molossidae. The transcript is spliced from 3 exons. The record is from RefSeq and is a predicted model, not a curated record.